AAAUUGAAGAGUUUGAUCAUGGCUCAGAUUGAACGCUGGCGGCAGGCCUAACACAUGCAAGUCGAACGGUAACAGGAAGCAGCUUGCUGCUUUGCUGACGAGUGGCGGACGGGUGAGUAAUGUCUGGGAAACUGCCCGAUGG
This 142-nucleotide ribosomal RNA is filed under the name Escherichia coli. RNAcentral's name for it is "partial 16S ribosomal RNA". It matches the Rfam family "Bacterial small subunit ribosomal RNA", at positions 1 to 136 of the family's 1533-position model. RNAcentral also lists the same sequence under 2 other names. The record is from RNAcentral. Lineage: Bacteria; Pseudomonadati; Pseudomonadota; Gammaproteobacteria; Enterobacterales; Enterobacteriaceae.